AACAUGUGAAAAUUGUGAAGAAAUUAGAGAAGUUGAAAUAAUGAAGAUAAUUUGAAGGCAUAGUAGUGGGAGCCUGAUAUAAUUGCAAUGGUGAUGGGCUAAGGUGGGGACCAGGAAAAAAAGGCAGACGCAUAAAUCGGAUGGGCCUAUGAUGAGUCAGCACAAACAAAAAGCUAGGUAAGAAGUGGGCCCCAGUGGUCCUAUCUAUCUAUGUAUCUGAAGAAUUAAGGUUUGUUCAUCAAACAAAUGGGGCCCACUGUACUCGGGUAUUCUGCAAUAGUGGUAGUAGGACUUCUUAAGGUUGUGAUUUAUAUUUAUUUUUUAAAUGUUAUAAGUGAUAUUUUUAAUAUUGUUUUUUGGCCAAGAAGAAGUGAUAUUAUAUCAUUGUUUGAUGUAAGAAAAUACUACUUUAUAAUAUGAAAGA
RNAcentral lists this long non-coding RNA (424 nucleotides) under Erythranthe guttata (spotted monkey flower). Its description in RNAcentral is "long non-coding RNA (EGUT_LNC003122)". Lineage: Eukaryota; Viridiplantae; Streptophyta; Magnoliopsida; Lamiales; Phrymaceae. The record is from RNAcentral.